This 116-nucleotide ribosomal RNA is filed under the name Pteropus alecto (black flying fox). The record is from RNAcentral. Lineage: Eukaryota; Metazoa; Chordata; Mammalia; Chiroptera; Pteropodidae.
GUCUACAGCUGUGCCACCCUGAACAAGCCCGAUGUCCAAUCUUGAAAGCUAAGCAGUGUCAGGCCUGGUUAGUACUUGGAUGGGAGACCACCUAAGAAGACCAGGUGCUGUAGGCA